RNAcentral lists this microRNA precursor (99 nucleotides) under Lottia gigantea (owl limpet). Its description in RNAcentral is "microRNA lgi-mir-2c precursor". Its record names the gene lgi-mir-2c. The stretch from base 21 to 85 matches the Rfam family "mir-2 microRNA precursor family". From Rfam's summary of the family: The miRNAs are transcribed as ~70nt precursors (modelled here) and subsequently processed by the Dicer enzyme to give a ~22nt product. In this case the mature sequence comes from the 3' arm of the precursor. Lineage: Eukaryota; Metazoa; Mollusca; Gastropoda; Lottiidae. The record is from miRBase by way of RNAcentral.
ACAUUACCGGUAUUUAUGGAGAUCCCAUUAAAGUGGUUGUGAUGUGUUAAAUUCAUCAUAUCACAGCCAGCUUUGAUGAGUUCUUUAUAAACAAAAUCA